AGCUCCAAUAGCGUAUAUUAAAGUUGUUGCAGUUAAAAAGCUCGUAGUUGAAUUUAUGGCGAUUGCAUAAGCAGGCUUCGGUCGUUUAUGUGGUCGUCAUCCGCUUGGAAAUCCCGUACGGUCUUCAUUGGUCGGCGGGAGGAUCAGGCAUUUUACUUUGAAAAAAUAAGAGUGUUCAAGGCAGGCAAUCGCCAUGAAUACACAAGCAUGGAAUAAUGGAAUAGGACUGUGAUCCAUUUUAUUGGUUAUUGGAUUACAGUAAUGAUUAAUAGGGACAGUUGGGGGCAUUAGUAUUUAAUUGUCAGAGGUGAAAUUCUUGGAUUACUUAAAGACUAACUUAUGCGAAAGCAUUUGCCAAGGAUGUUUUCA
RNAcentral lists this ribosomal RNA (369 nucleotides) under uncultured eukaryote. RNAcentral describes it as "SSU rRNA". It matches the Rfam family "Eukaryotic small subunit ribosomal RNA", at positions 587 to 972 of the family's 1831-position model. The record is from RNAcentral.